CUCAUCUCCGACGAGCUGCCGUUGCGUGCCCUCCGCCCCCUGCUUGAGUCAGAUCCGGACACCCCGGGCUCGCAUCCGGCCUCCACCGCCCACCUGGAUCCCUCCUCGUCAUAGGACACCAGCAGCAGGCGGUGGUCGAAAACAUGCCGAGACCGCCGUCACUGCAUCCACGCGUGGAGGUCGCCGUCGCCAGGACACCACCAACCCGAGGAGGAAGAGGUAUGGUUCCUCCCCCUGGCUGGCAUCGCUUCCCCCUGGACAAAGGCUGCUCAAUGCUGGUUGCUGCCUCGACCAGCACCCGCGCUCCGACCACUGCAUCGUCCUCUGUCUCGUGGCUCCGACGAGUUGCCUGCCCCGGUGAUUUGCCUCCUCUGCAUGCGACUUACCUCCUCUCUGAUCCGGUAGAUGCCCAUGAGUCUGGCAACAACUUCUGAGAAGGGGACUAUGAUUCGAGUAUAUAUCGUGGCACAAGCAACUAAGUCACAUAGGUUUCAGUGGGGAGCAUAUGCAUCAACAAUUUACUCGCUCUCAUUUGGGCUAUGCAUUGCUCAACCUGAUGCUUUUUCUGCCACAAGUUCAUCAGGCUCUUUGCACACGUUUUUCCUUGACGCAGCCAGAAAUGGAAGGUUGGCAACGCCUGCUACAAGGCUAGUGAUCUACUCACCUUGUGCAACCAUUUUCUUCACUCGUCUUGAAGACCUUAUAAGUUCAGUUUUGAAUUUAUAUUGUAUUGACCUAGAAAGGCUACAAAGUAAAGAUGCUACUUAGGAUGAUCUUUUCAUGUGUACGCAGUGCGUUGCACAUAUCUUAUUUGUGGAAAUGAUCUGUUACUAGGUUUGUAACAUACAAAUGUGAAGCAUCUAUGUUGAACGUUUUAUUGUUGGGUAUGAAUGGAUUUCAAUGCUAAGUCGAGAUAUCAGCUCAUGUCAGCUGUAAUGUAAAAGAAAUAAAUAGUAUCCCCCUUUUUUUUC
Long non-coding RNA from Aegilops tauschii subsp. strangulata, 971 nucleotides. RefSeq lists it as uncharacterized. The record is from RefSeq and is a predicted model, not a curated record. NCBI's taxonomy places the organism in Eukaryota, Viridiplantae, Streptophyta, Magnoliopsida, Poales, Poaceae.